RNAcentral lists this long non-coding RNA (1197 nucleotides) under Homo sapiens (human). Its description in RNAcentral is "HSALNT0069054". The record is from RNAcentral. Lineage: Eukaryota; Metazoa; Chordata; Mammalia; Primates; Hominidae.
CAGCAUCUGCCUCUUUCCACUUGAACUCUGGCAGGAGGUUUGUUCCAUUGCAUGUGGUUCUGAGUUGUUCAGUCUAAUGGAAGAAGCACUAGAGAAGAGCUCAGAACGUUUGGUUUUAAAGCAGCAUCGUCAAUAUCUUUGAGUCCAACAGUCAAAUUCAAAUAUACUCCAAGAAUGUUACGAAGUUGUCGUCGGGAAGCAUGGCAAACUGAUACAGUGAAAAGAGAAAUUCUUGAGUCAGGUGUUGACCACUUUAAAUCUCAGGAUAAUUCCACAGCCUCAAGCCAGGAAACUCCUCAGCAGCCCAGUUCCAGUGACUGAGUCCACUUUGAAGACACCUUGUUGUGGGCUGCCCAUACUGUGAGGCCUGUACCCAACCAGCCCACUGGCCUUCAGUUCCAUCAGGACUGGAAGCACCUGCACACAGAGCUGAAAAGCAAACCUUUUUUAUGACUGGACGUGAACAUGUGCCGUGAUAGCUAUGGUUCGGAGGUGGGCAGGCUGCUUAUGAAUGAUUUAGCAUCAUCCCUUUGGUGCUGUCCUCACGGUAGUGAGUUAGUUCUCAUGAGAACUGGCUGUUUAAAAGUGUGUAGCACCUCCCCCCUCACUCUCUUCCUUCUGCUCUGGCCAUGUAAGAUGUGCCUUGCUUCCCUUUUGCCUUCCGCCAUGAUUGAAAGUUUCCUGAGACCUCCCCAGAAGCAGAGGCCAGCAUCAUGCUUCCUGUGCAGCCUGCAGAACCGUAAGCCAAUUAAGCCUUUAUUCUUUAGGAAUUACCCAGUUUCAGGUAUUUAUUUAUAGCAGUGCGAGAAUGGACUAAUACAGGCAUAUACUCAAUAAUGAUUUUGCUGGGUCAAACAGUAGUUCUGAGUUCUUUGAGAAAUCUCCAACUGCUUUCUACAGUGGCUGAACUAAUUUACAUUCCCACCAGAAGUAUAUAAGCAUUCCCUUUUCUCCACAAUCUUGCCAGCAUCUGUAAUUUUCUGACUUUAAUAAUAGACAUUCUGAUUGGGGUGGGAUAUGACACCUCAUUGUAGUUUUGAUUUGCAUUUCUCUAAUGAUUAGUGAUGUUCAGCAUUUUUCAUGUUUGGCUGUGCAUAUGUCGUCUUUUGAGAAAUGUCAUCUUGAGAAAUGUCUGUUCAUGUCCUUUACCCGUUUUAAGAAGGUUGCUUGUUUUUUGCUUGCUGAUUUAAGAUUCCC